UACAGAGGUCCCGAGCGUUGUUCGGAUUCACUGGGCGUAAAGGGUGCGUAGGUGGUGGGGUAAGUCUCGUGUGAAAGCUCGCAGCUUAACUGCGAAAAGUCACGGGAUACUAUUCCGCUGGAGGCUUGGAGGGGGGACUGGAAUACUUGGUGUAGCAGUGAAAUGCGCAGAUAUCAGGAGGAACACCAAUAGCGAAGGCAGCUCGCUGGGACGUUACUGACACUGAGGCGCGAAAGCGUGGGGAGCGAACAGG
Molecule: ribosomal RNA, 253 nt
Filed under: uncultured bacterium
Lineage: Bacteria
Description: partial 16S ribosomal RNA
Rfam family: Bacterial small subunit ribosomal RNA
Source: RNAcentral